RNAcentral lists this small RNA (510 nucleotides) under uncultured Glomus. RNAcentral's name for it is "SSU rRNA". It matches the Rfam family "Eukaryotic small subunit ribosomal RNA", at positions 569 to 1082 of the family's 1831-position model. Lineage: Eukaryota; Fungi; Glomeromycota; Glomeromycetes; Glomerales; Glomeraceae. The record is from RNAcentral.
AGCAGCCGCGGUAAUUCCAGCUCCAAUAGCGUAUAUUAAAGUUGUUGCAGUUAAAAGCUCGUAGUUGAAUUUCGGGGUUAGUAGGUUGGUCAUGCCUCUGGUAUGUACGGGUCUCACUGAUUCCUCCUUCCUGAUGAACCGUAAUGCCAUUAAUUUGGUGUUGCGGGGAGACUGGACUGUUACUUUGAAAAAUUAGAGUGUUUAAAGCAGGCUAACGCUUGAAUACAUUAGCAUGGAAUAACGGAAUAGGACGUUCGAUCUUAUUUUGUUGGUUUCUAAGAUUGACGUAAUGAUUAAUAGGGAUAGUUGGGGGCAUUAGUAUUCAAUUGUCAGAGGUGAAAUUCUUGGAUUUAUUGAAGACUAACUACUGCGAAAGCAUUUGCCAAGGAUGUUUUCAUUAAUCAAGAACGAAAGUUAGGGGAUCGAAGACGAUCAGAUACCGUCGUAGUCUUAACCAUAAACUAUGCCGACUAGGGGUCGGAUGAUGUUAAUUUUUUAAUGACUCAUUCG